This 107-nucleotide small nuclear RNA is filed under the name Procavia capensis (Cape rock hyrax). Lineage: Eukaryota; Metazoa; Chordata; Mammalia; Hyracoidea; Procaviidae. The record is from RNAcentral.
GUGCCACAAGGGUUUAAACACAUGUACUAAAAUUGGAAUGAUAGAGAUGAUCAGUAUGGACCCUACACAAUGAUGAUAUGAAAAUUGGUGAAGUAUUCCAUAUUUAA